AACGAACGCUGGCGGCGUGCCUAACACAUGCAAGUCGAGCGAGAAAGCCCGCAAGGGUGAGUACAGCGGCGCACGGGUGCGUAACACGUGGGUAAUCUGCCCUGGAGCCCGGAAUAACUCCCCGAAAGGGGUGCUAAUGCCGGAUGAGCCCACGGGAACUCCGGUUCCCGAGGGAAAAGGUGGCCUCUGCAUGCAAGCUAUCACUUCAGGGUGAGCCCGCGGCCCAUCAGCUAGUUGGCGGGGUAAUGGCCCACCAAGGCUACGACGGGUAGCUGGUCUGAGAGGACGAUCAGCCACACUGGAACUGAGACACGGUCCAGACUCCUACGGGAGGCAGCAGUGGGGAAUCUUGCGCAAUGGGCGAAAGCCUGACGCAGCAACGCCGCGUGUGUGAUGAAGGUCUUCGGAUCGUAAAGCGCUGUCGGGAGGGACGAAUAAGCCGGCCGCUAAUAUCGGCCGGUGAUGACGGUACCUCCAGAGGAAGCACCGGCUAACU
This 496-nucleotide ribosomal RNA is filed under the name uncultured bacterium. RNAcentral describes it as "bacterial SSU rRNA". It matches the Rfam family "Bacterial small subunit ribosomal RNA", at positions 29 to 502 of the family's 1533-position model. The record is from RNAcentral.